This 6747-nucleotide long non-coding RNA is filed under the name Homo sapiens (human). RNAcentral describes it as "long independently transcribed non-coding RNA 2700, transcript variant 33 (LINC02700)". The record is from RNAcentral. Lineage: Eukaryota; Metazoa; Chordata; Mammalia; Primates; Hominidae.
AGUUCGCCAGGCAGGAAGUGCAGUAGCAGGACUCUGGCUUUCCGGAGAGUCUCUGUUUUUCCUUUUUUUUUUUCCCUUUUCGCCCAAUAAAUACCAUUUUUCUCACCCUUCAAAGUGUCUGCAAGCCUAAUAUUUCAUGGAUGUUUGACAAGGACCCCGUCUUUAGCUGAACUAAGGAGAAAGUCCUGCAACACACACAUGGAGCUCAGCAAACGGAGGAUGUAACGCACAUGAAAUUUGGUGCUGUGACUCGGAUUGGGGGACCUCCCUUGGGAGAUCAAUCCCCUGUCCUCCUGUUCUUUGCUCCAUGGGAAAGAUCCACCUACGACCUCAGGUCCUCAGACCGACCAGCCCAAGGAACAUCUCACCAAUUUUAAAUCGGAUGAAGAAACUGAGGUCCAGAGAAGUUAAACGACCUUCCUAAGAUUACACAGCUUAGUAAGUGGCAGAACCACAGCUGGAAGCCAGGUCCUUCCUCACGCAAGUCCUGGCUCAUUCAUUCCUCUUCCAAAGACUUGCUGAGCACCUUCUAGGUGCCAGAUGCGGUGCUGGCUCCUGGGGACAUGGGAGUGAACAGGCCAGGCGUGGCCCUGAACCAUCAAAUAGACAACCACAGAAAUAACAACAACAAAGACAAAACCGGGCCCUUCCACACAGUAGCUGGAACACAAAGGAAGAUCAGCCAAGCCUCAACAUAAUCUCAUAAAAAUUCUUCAAAUAUCCCAUUGUUAUGGAUUCAUACAUCAGGAAAGCAGACCACUAUGGGCAACUUCCUGUCUAUUCUACCUGGUGUCACUGUGGACAACUUCCUAUCUAUUCCACCCGAUUCACCGCUUGGCUACAUCCUCCACCAUUGGGAUGAAUUUGACCCUAACAAUCUAAAGAAAAGGCAUAUGAUUUUUUACUGCAAUAUUGUUUGACACAAUUAUGAGCUGCCCAAUCCGGAACAAUGGGCAGUCAAUGGUAGCCUUAAUUAUGAUACCAUCCUGUAUCUAGACCUAUUUUACAAGAGGCAGGGCAAAUGGUCAGAAGUCCCACAUAUACAGGCCUACAUGACCCUAUACGAAGACCUAAGAAUCUAGGAAACUCCCAGAACCCAUCCCCCGAAGGAAAGUUCUGGGGCAGAACUAGAUAUUAUAGAUGAACCCCCUUUUACAAGGGAUACCUGUCUCUCAGAGUGAGCAGUGACUGUCCCCAUAUAACCCCUCACCAAGUGCUCCUGAGGCUGAAACCCAGGGGCAAACAUGGGGAACCCUACUAAGUCCCCCUCACACUUGGAGGGGAACACUGUAUUCAACUCUCUAUCCAGCCCUGCUACUCUCAGAGAAAUAGCAGGGGCUGAGGGGCCAAUCCUAGUGUGGGUCCCCUUCUCUAUGAUUGAUAUACAACAAUGUAAGGAAAAGCUAGGAAGCUAUUCUGAGGAUUCCGGGAAGUUUGCAGAUGGGUUCCAAACUUUGACCUUAGCCUUUGAUCUCUCAUGGAGAGACGUUCAAUUCACUCUAGCAACCUGUUGCACCUCCUCGGAAAAGGAACGAAUCUUUGAGGCUGCCCUCCGAGAAGUGGACGAAUUAUUCACCCAAAACCGUAAAGGCAGUCACCCAGGCCCAGCCACAGUUCCCACUACGCAUCCUAAUUGAGACCAAGACACCCCCGCAGGAAGGAACAACUGGGCUAAAUUUCUUGAGGCUCUUGGAGGAAUGAGAAAGGGAAUAACUAAGGCAGUAAAUUAUGAUAAAGUAAGGCAGAUUACACAAGGCAGGGAGGAAAACCCAGCUGUGUUUUACGGCAGGCUGCGGGAAGCCUUUAAAAAAUAUAUACUAAUUUGGUCCCUUCCUCUCCUGAAGGCAAGUUAUUAAUGGCACAACGUUUCAUUAGCCAAUCCACACCAGACAUUAGACGUAAGCUCCAAAAGCUACACAUGGGGCCACAAACUAACCAAAAUCAGCUUCUUGGUACUGCCUUCAUGGUGUAUAACAAUCGUGACCUGGAGGAAGGAGAAGGGAAACAGAGUAAAGAAAAACGGCAAGCCAAAAUUAUGUUAGCCAUCACUGGUGAUGCCCUAAAUGCACAAAGAUUGUCCAAGGGAAACUCAAAGGGCCAUAAGGAUAAUGCCAGCAAAGGCUCUUGCUUCAAAUGCAAUAAAAGUGCGAUUGGGCACAGGAAUCCACUAAGCCCCCGCCAGUCCCCUGCCGUCAAUGUAAAAGCACCAGUUGUGGCUCCUGGCCCUGGAGAAUUGACUGUCCCUGCUCCCACCAAGGGGCUCAGUCAGUCAAAACUCUGGCAGUGCACAAGGAGGAAUCAGAUGAAGACUGAAGGGGCCUGGGGCCUUCCUCACUGCCCCGUCUAGGAACAUUGUAAUUACUACUGAGGAACCCUGGGUAACUCUGGACAUCAUGGCCACCCAAAUUCAGUUUUUAUGUGAUACCAAGGUGAAUUAUUCUGUACAACUGCUUAUGCAGGAAAACUUUCCUCCCGGUCCAUGAGUGAUAUUGGAUGGAAGGGAAGCCACAAACAAGAUUCUUACUCCUCCUUUGGUUUGUCAAUUUGAGAAACAAAUCUUCCAACAGGAAUUUUUAGUAGUACCAAGCUGCCCAAUUCCCCUGUGGGAAAGAGAUAUUAUGGUGAAAAUAGUGACACUACUGCAAUUUAAGCAAUAUUAGCAGGUGAAACUGCUAAUAGUAAGAAAUAAGGCAAUGUCCCAGACCAUGUCAAUAAACAGGUUAACCCACUGGCAUGGUAUACUGGAAACCCAGGGAAGGCUAAAACAGCAGUGCCAGUCAAAAUACAGCUUAAAGACCCCAGCCAUUUUCCCAAUGGAAAACAAUACCCAGUUGAACAGGAAGCAAGCAAAGGUCUAGCUCCCAUAGUUGAGAUAUUACUUACCCAUGGACUCUUAAAACCCUGCAAUUCUCCCUGCAAUACCCCCAUCUUACCUGUUCUCAAGCCUGGGGGGAAUACCAGCUAGUACAGAACCUCAGAAUAAUGAAUGAGGCUGUUAUCCCCGUCCACCCAUUGGUGGCAGAUCCAUAUGCCCUCCUGGCUCAGGUGCCAGGGCAUGCAAAAUGGUUCUCAGUCCUAGACCUUUCUUCUCCAUUCCUCUGGCCCCGAGCCCCCCAGUACCUUUUUGCUUUCGAAUGGGAAAAUCCUAAUACCAGAUAAAAACAAUACACUUGGACAGUGCUUCCUCAGGGCUUUCGGGAUAGCCCCCACUUCUUUGCCUGAGCAUUAGAGCGGGAUCUGAGGGAUUUCAAGUUAGAAAAUGGAGGUAUUCUUCAGUAUGGGGAUGACCUUGUGUGUAGCCCAACCUAGGAGGUUUCUGACCAAAAUACUAUAAAAACUUUGAAUUUCCUGGCAGACAGAGGAUACAAAGUGUCCAAAAAGAAGGCUCAGAUUACCCUCCAAUGGGUCCACUAUUUAGGAUAUGUCUUAACACCCGGAACCCGGCAAAUAUCCCCAGAAGGAGUGCAAGCUAUAUGUGGUUUGGCCGCGUGCACCACCCCCAGCCCCCACCCUGACCCACCUCCAAGCAGCAGCUUUGUUCCUUUUUGGGGAUGGCCGGGCUUUGGAGAAUAUGAGUACCAAAUUUUGGGCUCAUAGCAAAGCCCCUAUAUGAAGCAACAAGGGGGCCUGAAAAUGAGCUAAUGGAAUGGACCCCGGAAAUGAGGAAAGCCUUUGCCAAGUUAAAACAGGUUCUCACCCAGGCUCCUGCUCUUGGUAUCCCAGACCUAAUUAAGGCCUUCUCCUUGUAUGUAGCAGAGAAGAGGGGCAUAGCUGUGGGAGUGCUAGCCCAGAAAUUAGGAUCAGAACCCAGACCAACCGCCUACUUCUCAAAAAAGUUGGACGGAGUGGCCUCAGGAUGGCCAAGUUGCCUGCGGGCAAUAGCAGCCACUGCUGUUAGUGGAGGAAGCCACUAAAAUCACCCUAGGGCAACCACUGGAAGUUCUAACGCUCCAUCAGGUAAAGUUAGUCUUAGAAAUAAAGGGACACAUCUGGAUGACAGGGGAAAUGUUAACUAAAUACCAGCCCAUGCUCCUAGACAAUCCAGAUAUAACUCUUAAAACCUGCAACACUUUAAAUCCAGCUUCAUUGCUGCCCACAGGCCCAAUAAUUGAUCAUUCCUGUGAGCAGGUCAUUGCACAUACAUAUGUUAGCCAGCCUGAUUUAAAAGAUGAGGCUCUCCCAGAUUCUGAAGCUGACCGGCUCACAGACGGCAGUAGUUCUUUGUCGAAUGGGGAGCACAGAGCUGGAUAUGCAGCAGUAAAUCAUGACACAAUUAUUGAAGCCCAGCCAGUGCCCCCUGGCACAUCAGCACAAAAGGCUAAAAUCAUUGAUCUUACUCAAGCAUUAAUGUUGGGACAAGGGAAAAAACUUAACAUCUAUACAGAUUCUAAAUAUGCAUUCCUUGUGGUUCAUGCUCAUACCGCCAUCAGGAAAGAAAGGGGAUUACUUACUAGCAAGCACUCCCCUAUAGAGCAUGGACCUGAAAUUCUGCAGCUAUUGAAGGCAAUACACCUGCCAAAGGCCAUAGCUAUCAUUCAUUGUAGGGGGCAUCAAAGGGACUUAACCCCUAUAGCACAAGGGAAUGGAAAGGCUGACGGAAGCCAAAGCAAAAGCCCUCAGCGUGCAAUCCCAACAGAUCCUAGCACUGCUUCCUUUCUACAAUUCCCCAGUAGAACCCAAAUACACACCACAGGAAGAACAGCUAAUAAAAAAAGCAAGGGAGACAAAAACAAGGAUCCUGGUGGCAUAUGGAGCCAAAAAUAUAUCUCCCUCAGGCAGCCCAGUGGAGAGUUAUAAAAGCCCUGCAUGACUCUUUCCAUGUGGGGAGGGAUGCGGCUCUGGCCAUGGUAAACAAGUUCUUUACUGGGUUUAACUCAGCUUCAAUGGCUAAGCAGGUCUGUCAAGCCUGCUCACUGUGUGCAUUUAACAAUCCAGGCAUCAAAAUGCCCCCUCUAAUAAAACCAGUCCAAAGGAGGGGAACUUAUCCAGGGGAAGACUGGCAGUUAGACGUCAUCCAUAUGCCAGCUUGCAGAGGAUACAAGCUUUUGUUAAUACUAAUAGAUACUUUUAGGUUGGGUCAAAGGUUACCCCAGAAAAGGCUAAUGAGGUUCUAAGGUCCUCUUAAAAGAAAUAAUUCCCCAGUUUGGGUUACCUCAGGGUCUCCAAAGUGAUAAUGGCUAAUCCUUUAUCUCCCAAAUAACUCAAGGGGUUGCUAAGGCUCUUGGAAUAAAAUACUAUUUACAUUCAGCCUGGAGGCCCCAAUCCUCUGGAAAAGUGGAAAGGGUUAACCAAACUCUAAAAUAAGCACUAGCUAAACUAUGUCAGGAAACAUCAGAAACUUGGGUUAGCUUAUUGCUCACAGCCCUUUUAAGAAUUUGUAAUACCCCUAGCUCAAAAAUUAACAGAAGCCCAUAUAAAAUGUUAUACAGAAGGCCAUUCUUAACUAAUGAUUUAAUUAUUGACCCAGAAAGAGUUGGUGUAAUUAAAUACCUAGUCAACCCAGAACAAUUCCAGCGGGUUUACAAGAGUUUGGAAUUCAAAGGCUCCUCACACUUGGAACUAACCAGCAACCCAAAAUCAGGCCAGGAGAUAGGGUACUUGUUAAAACAUGGAAUGAGGGAUCACCUGCCCAACAAUUACAACCCCAAUAGAAGGGACUUUUUUCAGUAAUACUGGCCACGUCUUCUGUGGUCAAAGUACUAGUAUUAGAUAGCUGGAUACAUCUUUCAAGGAUCAAACCAUCAAUACCAGAAGCUCCAGACCAGGAACCUGAAGUUCCCAUCAGCCAGUACACCUGUGAACCAGUGGAGGACCUGAAGUACCUGUUUAAAAGAUAGCCAAAAGAUAAGUAAAUGCCUACCAACUUUCUUUGGUGUCUUUGUUGCAUAGUUACUGUGGGCUGGAAAAUAGUAGCCAUUUUUAUCUUUGCAGUUUAAUUGCCUUCUUCCAAAUAGAUAAAAAUCACUUCCUUUGUAAUAAUUAAACAGAAUUUAAAAAAUACAUUUCUAUGACAAAUAUUCCUGAUGGCAUAAGUAUCCACCCCAAGGUUCCCAUUAAAUCUUUUAACCUAAAGUAUUUCCUCUCACCUAGAGAUCAUCGAGCUGUGUGACAAGGGUGCCAGCCACUCCAGGUGAAGACACCACCCCAGGCCAUCAAGGAUCUUCCCUACCUUCACUAAACAGAGCAGGGUGAAAGUUGUGUGAUCCCCAAUAGGUAGGGACUACACCCCAAGUCAGCAGGAAGCAGUUACAGAAGAAAGACCAUUGGUCCCUCUGCUUCCCAUAAAGAUUUAUGGGGAUCACAGCUUUCACGGGGGAGAUGAGGCAAGAGAAUAGGGCAUGCAGGCAGGGUACUUGAGGCCAAUCCACGCUGACUUCCUAGAACUGAAUUAAAUGAAAGCUCCUCAGCAAUGACAGGAAUGUGAAUGGCUUUGUAACUUCUUCCUCUCCAUUAAUGCUAUUUCCACUUUGUAACUUCACUUUCAUCCUCUCCAUUUACAUAGAUCACACACCAAGUAACAUCCUCUCCAUUUACAGUAGGGCGCAUUCCGAGUCAAUGACUCUGACUGCACUUCGUUCUCCUCAUUUACAUAGAACAUUCGCCAAGUAACCAAUGGGAAACCUCUAGAGUAUUGAAACUCCAGAAAAUUCCGUAAGUGGGGCUCUUGAGCGUCUACACUCGGGUCGCUCCCACACUGUGGCGUGUACUUUUAUUCUCAAUAAAUUCCCGCUUUUGCUUUCCUCGUUC